GGGAUGGGUUGUAAUCCUUAGAGAAUAAAAUUAUAGCUUUUUUUUUUUUCCCUAGAGGCAUUGAAGAUGAAAUAGGAACUGCCAGGAGCAUCAGUGGCCCAGCCUGAAAGGCUUUGAACUGCCAGCAUAAAGCAUUUGUUAAUGAGCAUUUGGGGGAAGCAUUUCCUUAACUAGGAGAAAUACUACAAAAUAGUUGUCAAGUUAUUAAAUAUAAACUUCCUUCUUCAUAAGAGCGGGGGUCUUACAGAGACUUAAUCUUUUAGAGUGGCGGUCACAUCUUGAAUGAAGACGGAUGAAAACAGAAAAAGGCUGUUGGUGCUCUUCUGCUCCACUUCUUGCUGUAAUAACAUCAUAUUAUUUAAAUGAAAGACAGUAAGAUGCAUGUGAUUUGGAUGUUGGCCUUAAAUACAAACUACUGCAUCAAUCAAUAUACCUGCUUAUGAGAACAGGAUGUCACUCUGCUCCAACAGUGUCUAAGUUUAGAAGAUUUGGGAUUUGAAGAUUCUAACACGCUCCUGUGAAGUCUGCCAAGCACUGCACUGAGUUCCUCAGGAUGGAAAGGAUAGAAUAUAUAUAUCAGUUUUUUUUUCUGUUUUAUGAGAAUUUAAUUGCUAUAAUUACCAAACAGUGACAAAAUGUACUAAUCAUAUCUUAGAUUGUAUUUAUAGGGAAUAAUAAACACAGA
This 685-nucleotide long non-coding RNA is filed under the name Fukomys damarensis (Damara mole-rat). RNAcentral's name for it is "lncRNA (ENSFDAG00000032106.1)". Lineage: Eukaryota; Metazoa; Chordata; Mammalia; Rodentia; Bathyergidae. The record is from RNAcentral.